AACUGAAUAUUGGCGGCCGCGCCCCUCUUUCACACAAAUUUUUUUUUUUUUUCAGAUGAGAAGACAAAAAUAGUUGCAUAUAACUUCUAAGGGCCUUUCCCCAUUUUCUUCUUAUUCAGUUCAAUCUCUUGCUGCUUUCAAAUUUCAUCUAUCAAUUUCCACAUUCCUCCAUCAACUCUCUUCAUUUCAAACCCUAAUUCACUACUUUCGUUAUCCAUAUCAUCAAUAAACUAAGUCACUGACAAUCGUGAAUUUUCAAACCCUAAUCAACGCAGAUUCGAUCUUCGAAAUUCAAUCAGUUUGGUUUGGGGAAUUGGAGAGACGAUGAGUGCUCAGAAGAAGAGGAAUUUUCAGAUAGAAGCUUUUAAACAUCGGGUCGUGGUGGAUCCGAAAUACGCAGAGAAGACUGGGAAGAUCUUGGAACAUGCGAUUCAGGAGAUAUACAAUCACAACGCUAGUGGCCUUAGUUUUGAAGAGCUUUACAGGAAUGCUUACAAUAUGGUUUUGCACAAAUUUGGGGAGAACCUGUACUCUCGACUUGUGUCGACUAUGACAUCACAUCUAAAGGAAAUAGCAAGAUCAAUUGAGACUUGGUUUUCAUUUGAUCCCACUGCCAAUUUGGGUCUUGAUGUAGCAUCAUGCAUUAUUACAAGGGCUCCAUUAGGACAAGAUGCUGAAGGAAAAACAAAAUAUGUCAUUCGCCCAUACAUUGAUCAAUUCUCAAGGUGCCUUUAUGUGGAGUACAAGAAGAAUGGGAUCGAUGUGCAGUGUCAGGUAUGCUUGUUUUUUGGAACCCCCUUCUUGCUACAUUGCCUUUCCUAGUUCAUGUUACUUUCGGACAAUAUGUCGCUAAGAUUUAUUGAAGAAAUUCUACUUUGUUCUUACUCUCCAUUGUUCAAAUGCCCAACAAUUGGAUCUGUGUAUAAUUCAGUAUUGCAGUUUAACUUGGUUCUAAAAUUUUCUAAUCUUAUUUGAAGUCAUAAAGUAACUUAGCAAGUAUAUAGAACAUUAAAAAAUUGUCAAGCCAUGGAUACAUUUUUAUUAUGCUUCUAUGACUUGAUUAAGAAAGUUCUAUGGUAUAAAUCUUCUUAUAAGAUUUGUCUCUGUAAGAUAACCAUUUUUAUAUUGUGAUGGUGAUAGAAAGCAGAACUUGUUUUCCUGUUCUUCUCCAUAGUCAAUGCAUUGGCUACUUGUUAUGAAACUAAUUUACCUGCCAAAGAAAAAAAAAAAAAUACAAUCCUCUUUUAAUUUUUCGUUGAACUUGGUUAUGUGCUAUGAAAUGAUCUGUUUAUUAUGAUUCUUAUGAUCGGUCCACAUUAUUCUUUUGGAAACUAAUAUUUUAAUUCACAAAACAAGAAGGAAAAAAAUGAGAAGAAAACAAUUUAUACAAAGCCAAUCUUGAAAGCUGCCCUUUCUUUUUCCAUGUCAGUGAGAACCACCUAGUUCACCUUGUUGGAUUGCUUUAUGUGUCUUUCCCCACCGACUUUCUUUCUCAGUUUAUAUGUGAUUUUACGCAUGUCAAGAACUGCAAGGUUCUUAUUUGAAUUAUGGUUUUGCUAGAAAACACAAGAACUACAGAUUUGAAAUAAGAAUAUUCUUAAAAAUUAUGUAUAUACCUCCUUGCUGUGCAUAUUU
Camellia sinensis is the source of this 1635-nucleotide non-coding RNA. Lineage: Eukaryota; Viridiplantae; Streptophyta; Magnoliopsida; Ericales; Theaceae. The record is from RefSeq and is a predicted model, not a curated record.